GACAGAGGGUGCAAACGUUGUUCGGAAUUACUGGGCGUAAAGCGCGUGUAGGCGGCUAAGUAAGUCGGGCGUGAAAUCCCACGGCUCAACCGUGGAAGUGCACUCGAAACUGCAUAGCUAGAGUCCUGGAGAGGAAGGUGGAAUGCUUGGUGUAGAGGUGAAAUUCGUAGAUAUCAAGCGGAACACCGGUGGCGAAGGCGGCCUUCCUGGGACAGUGACUGACG
RNAcentral lists this ribosomal RNA (224 nucleotides) under uncultured bacterium. RNAcentral describes it as "partial 16S ribosomal RNA". It matches the Rfam family "Bacterial small subunit ribosomal RNA", at positions 524 to 745 of the family's 1533-position model. The record is from RNAcentral.